AACGAACGCUGGCGGCAGGCCUAACACAUGCAAGUCGAACGCAUCGCAAGAUGAGUGGCAGACGGGUGAGUAACGCGUGGGAACCUUCCCAAUGGUACGGAAUAGCUCAGGGAAACUUGGGGUAAUACCGUAUAAGCCCGAAAGGGGGAAGAUUUAUCGCCAUUGGAUGGGCCCGCGUAGGAUUAGCUAGUUGGUGAGGUAAUGGCUCACCAAGGCGACGAUCCUUAGCUGGUCUGAGAGGAUGAUCAGCCACACUGGGACUGAGACACGGCCCAGACUCCUACGGGAGGCAGCAGUGGGGAAUAUUGGACAAUGGGCGCAAGCCUGAUCCAGCCAUGCCGCGUGAGUGACGAAGGCCUUAGGGUUGUAAAGCUCUUUUGGCGGGGACGAUAAUGACGGUACCCGCAGAAUAAGCCCGGCUAACUUCGUG
Molecule: ribosomal RNA, 430 nt
Filed under: uncultured bacterium
Lineage: Bacteria
Description: bacterial SSU rRNA
Rfam family: Bacterial small subunit ribosomal RNA
Source: RNAcentral